CCUACGGGUGGCAGCAGUGGGGAAUAUUGCACAAUGGGGGAAACCCUGAUGCAGCGACGCCGCGUGAGUGAAGAAGUAUUUCGGUACGUAAAGCUCUAUCAGCAGGGAAGAUAAUCCCGCCUUCUGGCCGCCAGACGGUACCUGACUACGAACCCGCGGCUAACUACGUGCCAGCAGCCGCGGUAAUACGUAGGGGGCAUGCGUUAUCCGGAUGUACUGGGUGUAAAGGGGGUGGAGACGGGGAUGCAAGCCCGGAGUGAAAGCCCGGGGCCUAACCCCGGAACUGCUCUUGGAACUGCGUGGCUGGAGUGCAGGAGGGGCAGGCGGAAUUCCUGGUGUAGCGGUGAAAUGCGUAGAGAUCAGGAGGAAUACCGGUGGCGAAGGCGGCCUGCUGGACUGCAACUGACGUUGAGGCGCGAAAGCGUGGGGAGCAAACAGGAUUAGAUACCCUUGUAGUC
This 458-nucleotide ribosomal RNA is filed under the name uncultured bacterium. Its description in RNAcentral is "partial 16S ribosomal RNA". It matches the Rfam family "Bacterial small subunit ribosomal RNA", at positions 338 to 795 of the family's 1533-position model. The record is from RNAcentral.